RNAcentral lists this ribosomal RNA (254 nucleotides) under uncultured bacterium. Its description in RNAcentral is "partial 16S ribosomal RNA". It matches the Rfam family "Bacterial small subunit ribosomal RNA", at positions 524 to 776 of the family's 1533-position model. The record is from RNAcentral.
UACGAAGGGGGGCUAGCGUUGCUCGGAAUUACUGGGCGUAAAGGGCGCGUAGGCGGAUAGUUUAGUCAGAGGUGAAAGCCCAGGGCUCAACCCUGGAAUUGCCUUUGAUACUGGCUAUCUUGAGUUCGGGAGAGGUGAGUGGAACUCCGAGUGUAGAGGUGAAAUUCGUAGAUAUUCGGAAGAACACCAGUGGCGAAGGCGACUCACUGGCCCGAUACUGACGCUGAGGCGCGAAAGCGUGGGGAGCAAACAGG